Molecule: ribosomal RNA, 376 nt
Filed under: uncultured bacterium
Lineage: Bacteria
Description: bacterial SSU rRNA
Rfam family: Bacterial small subunit ribosomal RNA
Source: RNAcentral
GACGGAGGGAGCAAGCGUUGUUCGGAUUUACCGGGCGUAAAGGGCGUCUAGGCGGACAGGUAAGUCAGAUGUGAAAACCCCCGGCUCAACCGGGGACCUGCAUUUGAUACUGCCAGUCUUGAGUACGGAAGAGGAAAGCGGAAUUCCUGGUGUAGCGGUGAAAUGCGUGGAUAUCAGGAAGAACACCGGUGGCGAAGGCGGCUUUCUGGUCCGAUACUGACGCUAAAGCGCGAAAGUGUGGGGAGCAAACAGGAUUAGAUACCCUGGUGGUCCACACUGUAAACGAUGGAUACUAGGUGUCGGGGGUAUCGACCCCUCCGGUGCCGCAGCUAACGCAUUAAGUAUCCCGCCUGGGGAGUACGGUCGCAAGGCUGAA